CCUACGGGAGGCAGCAGCUAAGAAUCUUCCGCAAUGGGGGAAACCCUGACGGAGCGACGCCGCGUGGACGAAGAAGGCCGCAAGGUUGUAAAGUCCUUUUGCAGGCGAAGAAUAAGGUGAAGAGUGGAAUGCUUUGCCGAUGACGUUAGCCUGCGAAUAAGCCCCGGCCAAUUACGUGCCAGCAGCCGCGGUAACACGUAUGGGGCGAGCGUUGUUCGGAAUUACUGGGCAUAAAGGGCGUGUAGGCGGUUCGGUAAGCCUGGCGUGAAAGGUAUCGGCUCAACCGGUAGAUGGCGCUGGGAACUGGCGGACUGGAGUUUUGGAGGGGGAGCUGGAAUUCCUGGUGUAGGGGUGAAAUGCGUAGAUAUCUGGAGGAAGGCCGGUGGCGAAGGCGGCCCUCUGGUACUGGACUGACGCUGAGGCGCGAAAGCGUGGGGAGCGAACAGGAUUAGAUACCCUGGUAGUCCACGCCCUAAACGGUGGGCACUAGGUGUAGGGCUCGUAAGGGUUCUGUGCCGAAGGGAAACCAUUAAGUGCCCCGCCUGGGGAGUACGGCCGCAAGGUUGAAACUCAAAGGAAUUGACGG
This 586-nucleotide ribosomal RNA is filed under the name uncultured bacterium. RNAcentral describes it as "bacterial SSU rRNA". It matches the Rfam family "Bacterial small subunit ribosomal RNA", at positions 338 to 916 of the family's 1533-position model. The record is from RNAcentral.